UAGUACACUGACUUCUUGAAGAAUGAGGGUAACAUUAAUCAGUCAUUAAUGACGCAAAGAACAUGUAUGGAAGUCCUGAGAGAGAACCAAAUAUACGGAACUAACAAAAUGGUUCCAUACCGAGAUUCAAAGUUAACCCAUCUGUUCAAGAACUACUUUGAUGGGGAAGGUAAAGUAAGCAUGAUCGUGUGUGUGAAUCCAAAGGCUGAAGAUUAUGAAGAGUGCUUGGUAAUUCUGAUGUAUUUAUCUUAUAAAGUCUCAGCGUUUCUAUGGUGAAAACAACUAUUUGGAUGUGAAGAAUGACAUUUUAAAUAUUUUUAAAACUGAUACAGAACCAUUAGUUACAGAAGUGAACUAAUGACCAAUUUAUUGUUUCAUUGAGUAAUUUCUGAAAGACUUGAAUAUGCUGAUUUAUAAAACCAAAAACUCCCUCUGAUAUGUUUUGUGUCUAGCAAGUCACAAGAUUUGCAGAAGUGACCCAAGAAGUUGAAGUGGCAAGACCAGUGGACAAGGCAAUAUGUGGUUUGACACCUGGAAGGAGACACCAAAACCAGGCUUGGGGAGGACCAGUUGGAGAUGGUAAGAUUUGUGCCACAACAUGUGCAUGCUGAUGUCUGUCAGUCUCUCUCCUUAAGAUUGAUUUCACAGUAGAUAACUACUUCCCUUCCUCUCAAGAACCAAGUGCAAAGAAAAGGAAAAAAACAAAAAAACAAAAACCA
Long non-coding RNA from Mustela erminea (ermine), 719 nucleotides. RefSeq lists it as uncharacterized. The transcript is spliced from 3 exons. Lineage: Eukaryota; Metazoa; Chordata; Mammalia; Carnivora; Mustelidae. The record is from RefSeq and is a predicted model, not a curated record.